This 498-nucleotide ribosomal RNA is filed under the name uncultured bacterium. Its description in RNAcentral is "partial 16S ribosomal RNA". It matches the Rfam family "Bacterial small subunit ribosomal RNA", at positions 28 to 507 of the family's 1533-position model. The record is from RNAcentral.
GACGAACGCUGGCGGCGUGCCUAAUACAUGCAAGUCGAACGAGAGCGACCGGUGCUUGCACUGGUCAAUCUAGUGGCGAACGGGUGAGUAACACGUGGGUAACCUGCCCAUCAGAGGGGGAUAACAUCCGGAAACGGAUGCUAAAACCGCAUAGGUCUUCGAACCGCAUGGUUUGAAGAGGAAAAGAGGCGCAAGCUUCUGCUGCUGGAUGGACCCGCGGUGCAUUAGCUAUUUGGUGAGGUAACGGCUCACCAAGGCCGUGAUGCAUAGCCGACCUGAGAGAGUGAACGGCCACAUUGGAACUGAGACACGGCCCAAACUCCUACGGGAGGCAGCAGUAGGGAAUCUUCCGCAAUGGACGCAAGUCUGACGGAGCAACGCCGCGUGAGUGAAGAAGGUUUUCGGAUCGUAAAACUCUGUUGUUAGAGAAGAACAAGUGCUAGAGUAACUGUUAGCGCCUUGACGGUAUCUAACCAGAAAGCCACGGCUAACUACGUG